Molecule: ribosomal RNA, 292 nt
Filed under: uncultured bacterium
Lineage: Bacteria
Description: partial 16S ribosomal RNA
Rfam family: Bacterial small subunit ribosomal RNA
Source: RNAcentral
UUUCCUACGGGACGCAGCAGUGAGGAAUAUUGGUCAAUGGGCGGGAGCCUGAACCAGCCAAGUCGCGUGAAGGAAGAAGGUACUUAGUAUUGUAAACUUCUUUUGUCGGGGAACAAAGGCGGAGACGCGUCUUCGGAUGGGUGUACCCGAAGAAAAAGCAUCGGCUAACUCCGUGCCAGCAGCCGCGGUAAUACGGAGGAUGCGAGCGUUAUCCGGAUUUAUUGGGUUUAAAGGGUGCGCAGGCGGGAGAUCAAGUCAGCGGUAAAACUUCGGGGCUCAACCCCCGCCGGCC